UACGUAGGGUGCAAGCGUUAAUCGGAAUUACUGGGCGUAAAGCGUGCGCAGGCGGUUGUGUAAGACAGAUGUGAAAUCCCCGGGCUCAACCUGGGAACUGCAUUUGUGACUGCACAGCUGGAGUGCGGCAGAGGGGGAUGGAAUUCCGCGUGUAGCAGUGAAAUGCGUAGAUAUGCGGAGGAACACCGAUGGCGAAGGCAAUCCCCUGGGCCUCCACUGACGCUCAUGCACGAAAGCGUGGGGAGCAAACAGG
This 253-nucleotide ribosomal RNA is filed under the name uncultured bacterium. RNAcentral's name for it is "partial 16S ribosomal RNA". It matches the Rfam family "Bacterial small subunit ribosomal RNA", at positions 524 to 776 of the family's 1533-position model. The record is from RNAcentral.